This 112-nucleotide Y RNA is filed under the name Pongo abelii (Sumatran orangutan). RNAcentral's name for it is "Y RNA (ENSPPYG00000040894.1)". It matches the Rfam family "Y RNA". Rfam says of the family: Y RNAs are components of the Ro ribonucleoprotein particle (Ro RNP), in association with Ro60 and La proteins. The Y RNAs and Ro60 and La proteins are well conserved, but the function of the Ro RNP is not known. The record is from Rfam by way of RNAcentral. Lineage: Eukaryota; Metazoa; Chordata; Mammalia; Primates; Hominidae.
GCCAGGUCCAAAGGUAAUCAGUUAUCUCAAUGGAUUGUUCACAGUCCGUUACAGAUCGAACUCCUUGUUCUACUCUUUCUCCCUUGUCACUACUGCACUUGAUUAGUCUUAA